AUUAUUGAUACAGUUUCUGU
Molecule: unclassified non-coding RNA, 20 nt
Filed under: Trypanosoma sp.
Lineage: Eukaryota; Euglenozoa; Kinetoplastea; Trypanosomatida; Trypanosomatidae
Also listed under: 1 other name
Description: partial trans-spliced leader sequence
Source: RNAcentral